This 511-nucleotide long non-coding RNA is filed under the name Felis catus (domestic cat). RNAcentral describes it as "lncRNA (ENSFCAG00000050407.1)". The record is from RNAcentral. Lineage: Eukaryota; Metazoa; Chordata; Mammalia; Carnivora; Felidae.
CACCAUAAUACUGUUUGGGGAGUAGAGACAAUGGAUUCAUUCUGACCUUGAUGUUUUUAUUGUUUUUUCUUUUUACUCCCCUUUUAGCUAGGGAUGAUCACUUAAGGCAGUCUAUUGGAAGAUAGGGUUCCUGGUGGCUCAGUCAGUUAAGUGUCUGACUUCAGCUCAAGUCAUGAUCUCCUGGUUGCACUUGACUUAUAUAGCACAUAUUUCCAAAUGGAAGUUAUGAAGACACUGGAGCAUCCCAACUCGGAUGAACUGCCUAUUGACCCACCUGCCUCGAUACCUUACCUUACAUAGCUCUAGAGCCAUGUCUUAUCUGCCACUUCUGGGUGACCUUUCAUCACCACUGUGAUAUCCUCUGUCACUCCUGAGGUUGAUCUCCAGACUCUGAAACAAUCUAGCCAUUCAGGUGAAUUUCUCUCAUGUUUUUAAUGUUGUAGAUAGUGCUUUUAUAUAGAUAGAUUCUGAGGUGAUGUGGAACAUGUUCUCCCCAUAAAUCCAACCCCAC